AUUUUUAGUUAUAACAUUUAACACCAGAAUAUUAAGAGUUAUUUUCUUCAAAUUUAAAGGAUUUGGCGGUAAUUUAGUCCAGUUAGAGGAACCUGUUAGGUAAACGAUAAACCACGAAUAAUCUUACCUGUUUUUAUAGUUUGUAUACCGUCAUUAUUAGACUACUCUUAUAAGAAUAAGUUGUUUUAAUGGUUUCCAACUAAUAUAUUAGAUCAAGGUGCAGCCAAUAAACAGGCCUUAAUGGGUUACAAUAAAACUUAUUUACAACGGAUAGUAGAUUUAAACAUCUUCUUUAAGGUGGAUUUAAUAGUAAAAUUAGUUCAACAUGCUAUAUUGAUAAAGGAUCUAAAUUGAGUACAUAUCGCCCGUCG
RNAcentral lists this ribosomal RNA (371 nucleotides) under Eucalliaxiopsis panglaoensis. RNAcentral describes it as "partial small subunit ribosomal RNA". The record is from RNAcentral. Lineage: Eukaryota; Metazoa; Arthropoda; Malacostraca; Decapoda; Eucalliacidae.